GUAAAAUUAGAAAUACUGUGUUAAUUACACAGUUUUUAAAAGAUUUAAGAAGAUAAAUAUUAGAAUAAAAAUUUGUGGGGGUGGGGAAAAAAGAGCUAACUUUUGAAAUGUUAACUACAGACCCAGCGCAAGAGUUCCUGGGACCUCAGCUUCAUCCUCUCACAGAAAGCUCUCCAUCUGUGGAACAUGCUUUCCCUGGGAGUCAGCAAGCUCUCUGGGAGCUUGUGUUGAAGGAAACAGAAAGAAUGACUUACUAG
This 257-nucleotide long non-coding RNA is filed under the name Parus major (Great Tit). RNAcentral describes it as "lncRNA (ENSPMJG00000010371.1)". The record is from RNAcentral. Lineage: Eukaryota; Metazoa; Chordata; Aves; Passeriformes; Paridae.